Molecule: ribosomal RNA, 471 nt
Filed under: uncultured bacterium
Lineage: Bacteria
Description: bacterial SSU rRNA
Rfam family: Bacterial small subunit ribosomal RNA
Source: RNAcentral
AUUGAACGCUGGCGGCAUGCCUUACACAUGCAAGUCGAACGGCAGCACGGGUGCUUGCACUUGGUGGCGAGUGGCGAACGGGUGAGUAAUGUAUCGGAACGUACCAUUCAGUGGGGGAUAACUAUCCGAAAGGAUAGCUAAUACCGCAUAUUCUGUGAGCAGGAAAGCAGGGGAUCGCAAGACCUUGCGCUGAUUGAGCGGCCGAUAUCAGAUUAGCUAGUUGGUGGGGUAAAGGCCUACCAAGGCUACGAUCUGUAGCGGGUCUGAGAGGAUGAUCCGCCACACUGGAACUGAGACACGGUCCAGACUCCUACGGGAGGCAGCAGUGGGGAAUUUUGGACAAUGGGGGCAACCCUGAUCCAGCCAUGCCGCGUGAGUGAAGAAGGCCUUCGGGUUGUAAAGCUCUUUCGGCCGGGUACGAAAGUCACAUGGGCUAAUACCCUGUGCGGAUGACGGUACCGGAAUAAGAAG